CCUACGGGUGGCUGCAGUGGGGAAUAUUGCACAAUGGGCGCAAGCCUGAUGCAGCCAUGCCGCGUGUGUGAAGAAGGCCUUCGGGUUGUAAAGCACUUUCAGCGGGGAGGAAGGCGGUGAGGUUAAUAACCUCAUCGAUUGACAUUACCCGCAGAAGAAGCACCGGCUAACUCCGUGCCAGCAGCUGCGGUAAUACGGAGGGUGCAAGCGUUAAUCGGAAUUACUGGGCGUAAAGCGCACGCAGGCGGUCUGUCAAGUCGGAUGUGAAAUCCCCGGGCUCAACCUGGGAACUGCAUUCGAAACUGGCAGGCUAGAGUCUUGUAGAGGGGGGUAGAAUUCCAGGUGUAGCGGUGAAAUGCGUAGAGAUCUGGAGGAAUACCGGUGGCGAAGGCGGCCCCCUGGACAAAGACUGACGCUCAGGUGCGAAAGCGUGGGGAGCAAACAGGAUUAGAUACCCGUGUAGUC
RNAcentral lists this ribosomal RNA (465 nucleotides) under uncultured Klebsiella sp. Its description in RNAcentral is "bacterial SSU rRNA". It matches the Rfam family "Bacterial small subunit ribosomal RNA", at positions 338 to 795 of the family's 1533-position model. The record is from RNAcentral. Lineage: Bacteria; Pseudomonadati; Pseudomonadota; Gammaproteobacteria; Enterobacterales; Enterobacteriaceae.